UUCUACUAUCUAUCGCAAGUCCAUGACUUAGUAGUUUUUUUCCCCUUUUGUGUACAACACACGCCAUUGAUAUUAUUACUAUUAUUAUUAUUCCCAAACUGCCGGUGAUUGCCGCCGCCGCCGCCUCCGAUAUUUUGCCGGCUCGCCGCCUAUGAUUGCUAGUUGCCGCCAGUCUGCGCCGACCACCAGACGAUAGAGUGUGUUGAUUGUAGACAGAAAGUCCGAUAGUAAUGUAGUAUCGUUCACCGCGUUCACUCGUCGCUCGUCUUUGUGGUCGUCAGUCAGUCAAUGCGCGACCGGUGCACCGGCCCUUAAUUGUCUAUAUAUAAAUGUUCGUCUUUUUUUCUUCUGUAGGCCGUUAACGGUUUUUUGAAAAUCGUUUAAAAGCGAUCCGGCGACUACGUUGCAGCUGCCACACAUUAUUAACGCCAUAUUAUUAAUUAUUAAUAACUCAAUAUUCAACGUUAAUAUUAUUAUUGUCAUUUCGUUGCGAUGAUGUCCCGUCACCCGUCGUCCGAACGCCACUCACGGCCGUCGAGUUAUUGACCCAUCAACAUAUGCUAUUGGCUGCCGCUUGCUUGUCAUCGGUUACGAAAUCGGAAAUAGGUCCCCGCGAGCCAUCGACAAUCAAUCAUCCAUCCGCUCCGAAACCGGAUCCGUUAUUGUUCACAUUCGAAGUGAUUAUAUCCCGCAGGAGGUAAAUUAUCAUGGACGCUGGGUUUAAAGAAGAGCGGCCUCCUCAUCCUAGAG
Molecule: long non-coding RNA, 750 nt
Organism: Acyrthosiphon pisum (pea aphid)
Lineage: Eukaryota; Metazoa; Arthropoda; Insecta; Hemiptera; Aphididae
Exons: 2
Source: RefSeq, a predicted model, not a curated record